AGAGUUUGAUUCUGGCUCAGAACGAACGCUGGCGGCGCGUUUAAGCAUGCAAGUCGAGCGGCAAGGGCCUUCGGGCCCCUAGAGCGGCGGACGGGUGAGUAACACGUGGACAAUCUGCCCCCCGGCCCGGGAUAGCCCAGGGAAACCUGGAUUAAUACCGGAUGAGACGGGACCCGCGAUGGCGGGAUCCGGGAAAGGCGCUGCGGCGCCGCCGGGGGAUGAGUCUGCGUCCCAUUAGCUAGACGGCGGGGUAACGGCCCACCGUGGCGACGAUGGGUAGCCGGCCUGAGAGGGUGGACGGCCACAUUGGAACUGAGACACGGUCCAGACUCCUACGGGAGGCAGCAGCUAAGAAUCUUCCGCAAUGGGCGAAAGCCUGACGGAGCGACGCCCGCGUGAACGAAGAAGGCCGUGAGGUUGUAAAGUUCUUUUCGGGAGGGGGAACAACCGUGGCAGGGAAUGGCUGCGGGAUGACGUGAAUCCCGGAAUAAGCCCCGGCUAACUACGUGCCAGCCGCCGC
RNAcentral lists this ribosomal RNA (520 nucleotides) under uncultured bacterium. RNAcentral describes it as "bacterial SSU rRNA". It matches the Rfam family "Bacterial small subunit ribosomal RNA", at positions 8 to 518 of the family's 1533-position model. The record is from RNAcentral.